This 554-nucleotide long non-coding RNA is filed under the name Brassica napus (rape). RNAcentral's name for it is "long non-coding RNA (BNAP_LNC013968)". Lineage: Eukaryota; Viridiplantae; Streptophyta; Magnoliopsida; Brassicales; Brassicaceae. The record is from RNAcentral.
CUUUUUUGAUUGUUGGUUUGUGGCAACUGAUCUCUUGUACCUGUUGUUGUUUCUCGUCACAUUGAGGGAGAAUGGAUUCGUAUUUGAUUGGGUAUUGACAUCUAUAAAGCAUGUAAAGUAUGUGGUUUGCAUUUUUGUCUGUCUUAGGUGAUUUUGUUUGAUUUGUUUUCACUAGUAUGUAUGUCUUUGGACGAUUGUUUUAUGAUGAAAAGUGGCAUGAACCGUGACUGUUGUGAUUGUUUUUCUUUCCUUGUGCAUUGUUCUCAGACACUGGUGACUUCAUUUUCAUGUCUUUCUUUUAAAAUAUAUGUGUUUCAUUAUCAUAAUUUGCGCUUGAUAUGUAUCGAUUUUAGUUGAGAUAGUUAGUGUUAAUGAUUUAGGUGUCUAUGUUAUCAAAGUUUAAUUCUUUUGAUGUUUUUGAACGCUAAGUAAAGUUUCAUACUUUUUCUUGUUUGUCAACGCUUAAGUAUUAUGAACUUGUAUUAUGAUGACUUUGUUUUAUGAGUACUGACUGUGGUGAUUGUAUUUGUUUCAUUGUUCACAGGUAUGGCGAU